GUGCCCUCUGUGUCCCGUGCCAUGUGUGUGCUCUGUCCCUGAUGUCCUGUGUCCUCUGUGUCCCGUGCCAUGUGUGUCCUGUGUCCCUGGUGUCCUGUGCCCUCUGUGUCCUGUGUCCCGUGCCAUGUGUGUCCUCUGUCCCUGGUGUCCUGUGCCCUCUGUGCCCCGUGCCCCGAGUGUCCAGUGCACUGGGUGUCCCCUUCCUUGUGCGUCCUGUGCCCCAGGAGCCCUCUCUCAAAUUGAGUUUAUCGUUAGAAUAUUGAAACUAAUUUGAUUUCUCUCCUUCCGCACCUCAUCCCAUCUCUGGGCUGCUUUGGUUUGCCGUUGUCAAGCACGGCACAACCUUCUAGAGAUUACUCUGUGUUGCCUUUCAGUGCCUUCAUUAAAAUGCAUCCCUGCCAGGGAGCUCUCUAUCCGUAUUAUACAUAUUAAUAAGGCUGGGUAGCAAUAAUUAAGGGAUGACUAAUAUCUUCGUGAGUGAAAGUAUCCAGCAUGGGCUGGAAUUCAUAGGUAAAUAGGGUAUAUAUGUUAUUAAAAAAAUCUUGAAGGUAAUAAUUAAAAUUCCCUGAGAUAUAAUAAUUUAAAAUAAUAUUUGCUGUCCUUUUACAGUUACAGCAGACAGGACACUUUUCACUGCUGUGCUCCCUUGUAGCAAGAAGCUCAGUUCAGGUGGAGCUGUGGGAGGAGGUGCUGCUGCCCUGGGCGGCUUCAGCUGUCCCUGGGGAUGUGCCUGAGUCCCUGUGGCUGUCCCAAAUCCCAAACCCAGUGACAGGGAGAAGGUCUGUGCUGGACCAGGGGGAGCAGCAGGCAGAGAUGCUCUGCCAGAUCAAAGGCAGCACUCAAGGGCAGCACAGACCCUGCAGAGUCACCACUGCCAGCCCCUGCCCACCCUGCCAGGAACAAUUCCCAAUUCCCAGUAUCCCACCCAGCCCUGCCCCCUGGCAGUGGGAGCCAUUCCCUGUGUGCUGUCCCUCCAUCCUUGUCCCCAGUCCCUCUGCAGCUCUCCUGGAGCCCCUCCAGGCCCUGCCAGGGGCUCUGAGCUCUCCCAGCCCUGCAGCAGCUCCAGGGGCUCCUCUGGACUGAACAAUGCCAUUUAACAAAACCACUGAUCCAGGCGUGUUGUGGGGACAGAUACACCCACAAGAGGCUCCUGAUGGAGCCCACGCAUGAAUUCAGCAGCUGCUGCACCAUUCAGGCUGCUUUGGGGCAUUUUUGGGAGUGGCUGUUGCCCACUUCAGUUCUUCCCUCCUUCCCUGGUGUAGCCAGAGCUCUUUUUCUCCCAACACUUUGAGAAACUUGUGAAGAGCUGAAGAGGAGACAGAGUCACUGUGCAGCUUUACAGAGAUCUUUUGCAUUUCCUGUGGGAUAUGAUGUGAAUUUUUGUGCUCUCUCUGGUGCAGGUGAUAAUGGGAAGGAAGGAGUGGUGACAGAAAUCCCUGUAAAGCAGAAUACAUUUGAAGAAGUCUGAAUUUCAGAGAGUUGGUGGUGGUGCUCAGCUUUCUGGAGGAGGAAUUGCAGAUGCAAACACUUGAAUAUGUGUUUGAAGUGAGACUUGGGCUCCCUGGUGUUUCUGGGCUCCUUUUAAACUUGACCCACAUACCAUUUCCCUGGAUUCAUGAGAUUUUUGAGUUCUCUGUUCUGUGAAUGUAUCAGUGACCCUUGUCCAAUUAUAUUUUCAUGCUUAUUUCAUUUCCCAUAAUUGUUAGGCUUCCAUAGGAGACAUUAUCUCUGAAUCACUGGUGUUGCAUAGCAAUUUCAUUACAUGAGACUUUAAUGUGCAGAUUUUCUAUAAAUACCAUUUGCUGUUAUUUUCUUGGCUUAUGUUGUGGUGGCUUUGGCAGCGCUGGUUUAACAGUUGGGCUUGAUGACCUCAAAGCUCUUUUCCAGCCUGAACGAUUCACUGAUUCUUUAUUAUUUUACAGGUUUUCCAGUAGAUAGAAUCAGUGGUCACAGGCAGAACUUGCUGCAUGUAACAGAAGGGGUUUUCACUCAGGCUUAAAAGAGUAAUUUAAUUUCAUUCUCAUGAAAGUUAAAUGCUGUUUGCUCAGAUUAAAGGAGAAGGAAACAGCCCCCACAUUUCUGAGUGCCUGUUAAUUCCAGAGAGAAGGCGUCAGCCACCAGUUUGUACUGGGAGGCAGCCUGGGAUAAAUAACAAAUCCUCUAAUUAAGAGCCAGCGGAUCCUAAUUGACUUAUGUUAGUCCUCCAGCUGGGCUCAGCCUUCCUCUCCUGUCAUGGCAUGGAGCAUCCUUUGUUUAAGGCACCCUGAGGUAGCAAACCCAGCCCCUGUGAGAGGCUGCAGCCUUGUGAAGUGUUUGAAGUUGUUAUUUUAGGAGCUUAUUUUAGCGACUCCUGAGCUGAGCAUUGAGAAUAUAUAGAGCAGCAUUUAGGGAAAGCGUUCAUGUGGUGGUGGCUUCCUUUACCAUGAGCUGCAGCUCUGCCAGCCAAGCUGAGCUGUGCCAUUUAAGGAACACUGAAGCUUUGAGUGAAGCUUAAACUUAGAAACUUUGCUGGAGUGCACCGGAUGCUGGGGGAAACCAGAACACACUUUUUGGAUUGUCAGACCAAAGGCAGGAGGGUUCCCACAGGGCCCUCCUCCUUGUGGAGCUUCUGUUUCGUAUUUAGAUUUUGUUUUUUAGUGCCCAAAGAGCUUUCAGUUGGGCUCUGACCAUGGUGGUCUGGAAAUUGGGCUAAAUUAAAGCAGGGGUUUUUUGUUUACUUAGAAGUGCUAACAGACUUGGACAGUCCUGGAGCGUUUUUCAGGACUUACAUCAUUCUGAAAUAGAUUUGACUCAAAACAAAUUCGAUAAGAAAGUAAUUCUCACUUGAUGUGUGUGAGAACCUUACUUGUUUGCAUCUACCCCAAAGGAAGAGCUGAGCCUGGGCAGGUGUGCUGAGGGAGAGUCUGGAUUUGAUAUGAACUAUUAAGAAGUUUAUUUAUUUUAAUUACUGGAAGAUCCGAGAGAACACAAGGAGUUAAAUGAAGUAGUUGGAAGAUACAGGAGAAGUUGGGAGCCUGACCCUCAGUAAGUAAAGGCCAUUCCCACUCAGGGUUUUAUCAGAUGCUCCCAUACUGCUCAGCUUCUUAUUUUGGGUGGUUUGAGGUUUUAUGAAUCCCCAGACAGAGAUCCAGGGAUGUCUUCCCAAGCUGUGCCAAAAGAUGAGGGUGAUCCAUUGAGUCAUGGAAGUUUUGUGUACUAUUUGUUCAUCACAGCUGUAUGAGACAGCAGCUGUAUUACAACACCUCUAAAAAAUGAUGUAUUAGCCACAAUCAUUUUCCACAUCAUUUACCAGUGUCACAGUAUUUUUAACUCCAGUUUAGCCUUCCCUGCUUCUCAGCCUGCUGCCACAAAGAGUUGAUAAUCCCAAGAAUAAUCCCAGAAGAACUCCAGUUGUGGAAUCACAGCUGAUUUGGAGAAGACAAACAAUGUGUCCUCUUGCUUCCAUCACCGAGAAAUGUCUCUGAGCAUUAUCUUCUGGUCUCAGCAGAAGAGCAGUGAUGUAAUUAACAGCUUCAUUAAUGCAAGAGUAAUUAUGAACUGCAGGAAUGGCUGUUGCAUCAGGAUUUCUUCUUGUAGAACUGCAGCAGCUUUUUGAUUCUUCAGAACUCAGGAGAAACAUAAAGGGUUGUCCUUUCGAGGCAGACCAGAUCAAGGAGUGGUGCGUGCAGUACCUCAUCCCAGGAUAAAUCCAGGGAGGCUCUAUGACUCAGGAAUGACUCACUGCUCCUCCUCUGUUCCUUCCAGACUCUUGGGGGUGUGCUAAUUUAUUGUCAGUCUGUAUCUGCAGUCAAUUAUUCCCCCCAGCUCAGCUCUCCUGUGCAGAAGGAAUUCAGGCACAUUCUGCUCAUUGCUCACCUCUCCAGAGAGGCAAACAGCAAGACAGAUUGAAGCAUCCCAGUGGAGCUGCAGGGGAAGUGUUUAAACAAUGCCUGCUUAGUGUCCAGCAAGUCCUCACUGGUAGGAAUAUCAGAAAAGAAAAAAAUAACUAAAAUAUAAGAUUUUUACAUAUGCAUGUACAAGAUACAUAAGCCCAGAGAAUCACAUAAGCAUGAAAAAUACUGAGUACAAAUAGGCCUUUUCAGCUCUUCCCAGCCAAAUUUUGUGAGCCUGAGGACACAACAGAUACAGCAGAAAUGCAUAAAAAAUAUUUUUCCAGUGGCAAGGCUGAUUCAAAAAUCCUUUCCCCCAUGUCAUUCAGCUCACCUCCAUCUGAUUUUUGCAACUCCCUCCUCCCAGGUUGUUUUGUGAGACAUUUUUCAGUGGCAGCACUGGCUCAAGAUACAGCGCCUUCACCACUUCCAACUGCUUAUUCCCAACCUUGUGUUAUCCUGGCACGAGGGGCUGGGUGGUAAAUGCUUGUUCUGCACAGACUGGGGCUGAAGUGGUCCUGAACUGGCCUUGUAAAUCAAAGAUAAAUUGAAAACAAAGGUGCAGAAUGGCAAAAUAGCAAUGAAAUAUAAUUUUAGAAUUAGAUAGUUUAAAAUGUAAACAAAUCCCCACAUCCUAAAUUAAUGGAAUUAUAGAAUCCUGGAAUGGUUUGGGCUAGAAGGGACUUUAAUGAUCUUGUCCCAGCCUUCUGCCAAACACUUCUCACUAAAUGUUCUAAUCAGCCAAACCUUCUGAGGCAGUGACAAGCUCUCAGAAACCACACGAUGCUGCAACUUGACAUUAUUAUAUAUUCAAAUAAUUUUAUUAAGCACAGUGUGGGAAGCUUGGCUGUUUUUCAAAAUAUCUGCAUCCAAAAGAAGUCCCUACACCUACAAAAAUAGCAGUUGCAGACAGACUCCAGAUCAGAGUGUUAUUCACAACAUCAGACUUGUGAUCAAUAGCUGGGAGAGUGUUGCCAGAAAUAGUCCUGCCCUGGGAAACGCUUCCUGCUGCCUCAGAACAGGUUGUGCUCCUGUCCUUCUGCACUUUCUCCUGGAUUUUAUCUCCAAGCACACGGAGAAGAAGCAAAGCUGCCUGACUCUGGUGCAGCUGUGUUGUGAAUCAGGCCAGCAGCACCAACAGCCAGCACCCCCUGUGUAUUUCUGACAGGGAUGAAACCCUCAUCCCAUUCCCCCACUUGCACAAGAAUUCACACAGCCUCUUGAUGAACCGGAUGGGAAAUCGAUCCAGCUGGAAAAGCAAAGAUCCACAUCCCCUUUCCAACACAAAAAAGGCUCUCCCAGCCAGAUUGCUGCUCAGUCUGUGCUGUGUGCAGACAGGACAAAGUGCUGAGUUCUGCCUGAAGCAACCCAGCCUGGGAAUGCGACACAGUCUGAGGCUCCACCUGGAAACAAUUUUCCCCCAUCCCUUUUCCCCUCUCUCU
Long non-coding RNA from Passer domesticus (house sparrow), 5311 nucleotides. RefSeq lists it as uncharacterized. The transcript has 4 exons. The record is from RefSeq and is a predicted model, not a curated record. NCBI's taxonomy places the organism in Eukaryota, Metazoa, Chordata, Aves, Passeriformes, Passeridae.